This 299-nucleotide ribosomal RNA is filed under the name uncultured bacterium. RNAcentral's name for it is "partial 16S ribosomal RNA". It matches the Rfam family "Bacterial small subunit ribosomal RNA", at positions 27 to 320 of the family's 1533-position model. The record is from RNAcentral.
GAAUCAACGCUGGCGGGCGUGCCUCAGACAUGCAAGUCGAACGAUUAAACUUUCCUUCGGGGAAGAUAUAGAGUGGCGCACGGGUGAGUAACACGUAAGUAAUCUACCCUUGGGUGGGGAAUAACAUCGGGAAACCGAUGCUAAUACCGCAUAAUGCAGCGGCUUCUUAUGAAGACAGUUGUUAAAGCAUUUAUGUGCCUGAGGAGGAGCUUGCGGCAGAUUAGCAGUUGGUAAGGUAAUGGCUUACCAAGGCGACGAUCUGUAGCCGACCUGAGAGGGUGGUCGGUCACACUGACACU